UCUGCUACUAAACUAUCUAUGUUAAACAAAGGAUGUCAUCCCCAUAGUUGUAGGCAUCCCUAAACAAUAGAUAAUGUAUUUGGACUGGAAAAAUUUGUGACAUAUAUGGGGAUAGGGAGUUGGGGUUGGAAGGAUCGGUUUAGCUAUUAGUGACUUUUUAUGCUCUUUUUGAACAUGACAAGAAAAGUUGAAUGGCAUGUGCACAUAUUGGUGCCAUGCUUUUGAAGCGUUGAUGCAGACUAACAAGCAUUUGUGUCGUAAAGCAAUAAAAAGGUAUUGUAUAUACAUGUUUCUAGCCUUUUUCCUAUUUUCAUUCCCAUUUGUUUAUCCGGGCACUUGCUAAUCUUACAAGCUAUCUAUUGUAUAUUGUCAUGAUGCCUUUGUUGCAUUGAGAUAUACACUGAGGUGAUACCAUGUUGAUUUGCAUGUAGGGUUCUGAAAGGAAUGAAAUUACGAGGCAAUGUUGAUUUGCAUGUUAUGCAUCUUGACCAACUUAUUUGAUGAUGUUUAACUCCUGAUUCUCUCAUUCUUCUGUACCAGUUGCUAAAUGAGGCUGGUUUCUCCUGUCAAUUAUAGGUGUAAAAUAAAGUCACAAUAUGACCAAGCAAUGAAAAAAAUGCUACCUUCAUAUGAUUGUCAAUCUUUUUAACUAACCGUCUCAUGCAAUGGAGUAAAUGUAUUCACAGCAUGAUGUGCACAUACUCACAUCUAUAGUAGC
This 718-nucleotide long non-coding RNA is filed under the name Hordeum vulgare. Its description in RNAcentral is "long non-coding RNA (HVUL_LNC003006)". Lineage: Eukaryota; Viridiplantae; Streptophyta; Magnoliopsida; Poales; Poaceae. The record is from RNAcentral.